CUGUACAUUUUUAAAUAUCUUUAGGGUGAAUUCAAAGGGAUGAAAUUACUCAGCUAAAGAGUUUGCACUGCUAGAGACACUCGGUACCUGUUACCAGAUGACCUUCUAGAAACUUCCUCUGGCAGGUUUGCUUUCUCAGUUGCAGUCUGUAAGAUGAUGGUUGCUGUUCCCGAGUGGGCCCAGGAAUGAUGUUUCUCACCAGAGCGCUCAGGCCCAUGCUGGUGUUCUCUGCUCUUCCAGGGACAUGUCUCGUUUGUAUCAACGGGGAGGAUGUUUCAGCAGAACCAUUUCCUGAUGGGUGUCAAGCUGAAAACAGAGUGCUCGCCCCAGGCUGGCUGAAACAGGAAUCCUAAGAGAAGCAACCACAUUGCCCCCCUCCACCCCCACGGCUGCCCACCGCCCUCCCCACGCCCCCACCCCCAGCCAGUCAAGUCUCUUCCUCUUCAGGAGGCCCAGGUCCUAGUUUCUCCUUUGAUCCAACACUACGGACAGGGGGUGUGUCAUGUCUGUGUGCUUAUAGGUGAAUGUGAAUGACUUUUCAAGGCAUCCUGAAAACACAAAAUCAUUCUUUGGAUUGCUUUUGUCAAAUAAUAAAAUUAUUUGACAUAAGUCUCAUUGAAAACAGAUGUGGAAAUACACAGUUCUGACUUUUUUACUAACCUUCCCUAGGGGUUCUUGGCUUACGCCAAUCUGCAUUUUGAUGCUGAAAGUUUCAGCAUCUGUCUUUCCCAGGUGGGUUGUCCUUAAUAUCCAGGAAGACUUUGCAGCAGCGAACAUGGGUAAGAGCAAGCCUGGGGCAUCACCCUUCCUGACUCCAUGGUGUAGUCCUCUGCAUCUCCGCGUGGGCAUGGCUUCCUCCAGCCCCAGGCCACAGUUGAGGCGUUCGGAUCAUUUAAGUCAGUUUCAUAAAACGAGUAAACGGAGUGCAAGUUUCUGUUCGUUCUAAGCUCAAGAGGCUGCCUCUCCUGUUGGCAGAUAUCAGAAUUUGCAGCUCACAGGAUAGUAAAGCAAGAGCUGCAUUUUCCUUUCUGUGCCUGUUACAAAGUCUAAGGUGGGCUGCCCAGGGCUGAUAGCCUGAUGCCGUGAUCUUUCAGCUCCGUAGCUUUUUUGUUUUCAAAUGUUUUCCAGAUGGUUUCUGCCCCUCCAGGCAUAACAUCUGCUCUCCACUCAGCCGGAAGUGGGAAGGGCACAACUUUGCCUUUUUAUUUUGGAACCUGGGGAGUGGUGGCCACAUCUCAUUGGCCAAAACUGCGUAAUAUCCCUGCCUUCAGAUGCAGGACAAGAGGGCGGUAAGGAAGGAUGUGGAUGAGCAUGUGUGUCGGAUAAACCCACCUCCUGUCUUCCCCACUGUCUCAAGUAAGAAGAGGAAGGAGACAGGGAAAUAGGAGUGGCUUCUGAGAGUUCAUCAACAGGAGGCAAUGGGAGCUCCCUUCACAGCCUCAAAUAGGUCCACGGAGGCCCACGUCUGUGCCACCUUGUUCCGACCUAAACAGCCAACCCAGGAUGAGCGGCUGACGGACUGGUCGGUACCCUGGCUGCUGACGGGAGGGCGAGAAGGGAGCAGGCUGCAGUGCAACAGAGCAUCUGCAGAAGGGAGCCGCUGACCGGACGCCCAAGAAGGGACAGGACCCAGCUCUCCCGCCAGAAGGCAUGUCACUCUAAGGUCUCCCACCUCUUCGUUUCCCCUUGGGGAAAAUUAGAGGGCAGAAACAGAAGUGAGCUUCCUUCCGAAGUCAUGGGCACAGAGCCACAGGACAGAUAAAGUUAGAAUCAUGGAGAAAAUGUUGUAUCCCAUGCCUGCUUGUUCUGAAUUCAGCUACGAACUUAGAGCCAAAGUAUCUUUGGGUCAUUCCAUCUAGGGUCCUGGGUCAUCCGCGCAUCCCCCCUUUCUUCUGCCCUUCACCAUCCAGCCGGGGUGUUAGUACCGACAUGGCUCUAACGCAGGGUUUUAAUUAGACCAUCCAAAGGUCGAUCGCACCAGAAACAUCUGGGGUGUCAGGUACCCCAGGUCAAUCGGAUUAAAAUUUGAGAACCUAA
Long non-coding RNA from Phacochoerus africanus (Common warthog), 2037 nucleotides. RefSeq lists it as uncharacterized. The record is from RefSeq and is a predicted model, not a curated record. The transcript is spliced from 3 exons. Lineage: Eukaryota; Metazoa; Chordata; Mammalia; Artiodactyla; Suidae.